UGCAUGUCUAAGUAUAAACGAUUUAAUCGUGAAACCGCGAAUGGCUCAUUAUAACAGCUAUAAUUUACUUGAUCUUGACACAAUCCUACUUGGAUAACUGUGGUAAUUCUAGAGCUAAUACAUGCAUUAAAGCUCUGACCUCACGGGAAGAGUGCAUUUAUUAGAACAAAACCAAGCGGCUUCGGCUGUUUCUGGUUGACUCAUAGUAACUGAGCUGAUCGCAUGGUCUUGCACCGGCGACGUGUCUUUCAAGUAUCUGCCGUAUCAACUUUCGAUGGUAGUGUAUCUGACUACCAUGGUGAUCACGCGUAACGGAGAAUAAGGGUUCGGCUCCGGAGAGUUCGCCUGAGAAAUCGCGAACACAUCUAAGGAAGGCAGCAGGCGCGAAAAUUACCCACUCUCAGCACGAGGAGGUAGUGACGAAAAAUAACGAGACCGUUCUCUUAUGAGGCCGGUCAUCGGAAUG
RNAcentral lists this ribosomal RNA (466 nucleotides) under unidentified nematode Sourhope farm. Its description in RNAcentral is "SSU rRNA". It matches the Rfam family "Eukaryotic small subunit ribosomal RNA", at positions 52 to 516 of the family's 1831-position model. Lineage: Eukaryota; Metazoa; Nematoda. The record is from RNAcentral.